GCCGAUAGCUCAGUUGAUAGAGCAUGAGGGUCUUAAUCUCAGGGUCAUAGGUUUGAGCCCCAUGUUGGACA
Podarcis lilfordi (Lilford's wall lizard) is the source of this 71-nucleotide non-coding RNA. The record is from the annotation of a GenBank genome assembly. Lineage: Eukaryota; Metazoa; Chordata; Lepidosauria; Squamata; Lacertidae.